This 450-nucleotide ribosomal RNA is filed under the name uncultured bacterium. RNAcentral describes it as "partial 16S ribosomal RNA". It matches the Rfam family "Bacterial small subunit ribosomal RNA", at positions 354 to 796 of the family's 1533-position model. The record is from RNAcentral.
GUGGGGAAUUUUGGACAAUGGGCGCAAGCCUGAUCCAGCAAUGCCGCGUGCAGGAAGAAGGCCUUCGGGUUGUAAACUGCUUUUGUACGGAACGAAACGGUCCGGGUUAAUACCCUGGGCUAAUGACGGUACCGUAAGAAUAAGCACCGGCUAACUACGUGCCAGCAGCCGCGGUAAUACGUAGGGUGCAAGCGUUAAUCGGAAUUACUGGGCGUAAAGCGUGCGCAGGCGGUUUUGUAAGACAGGCGUGAAAUCCCCGGGCUCAGCGUGGGAAUUGCGCUUGUGACUGCAAGGCUGGAGUGCGGCAGAGGGGGAUGGAAUUCCGCGUGUAGCAGUGAAAUGCGUAGAUAUGCGGAGGAACACCGAUGGCGAAGGCAGCCUCCUGGGAUAACACUGACGCUCAGGCACGAAAGCGUGGGGAGCAAACAGGAUUAGAAACCCCGGUAGUCC